RNAcentral lists this ribosomal RNA (435 nucleotides) under uncultured bacterium. Its description in RNAcentral is "partial 16S ribosomal RNA". It matches the Rfam family "Bacterial small subunit ribosomal RNA", at positions 28 to 507 of the family's 1533-position model. The record is from RNAcentral.
GAUGAACGCUGGCGGUAUGCUUAACACAUGCAAGUCGAACGGACUCUUCGGAGUUAGUGGCGGACGGGUGAGUAACGCGUGAGAAUCUUGCUUUGGGUUCGGGACAACCACUGGAAACGGUGGCUAAUACCGGAUGUGCCGAGAGGUAAAAGAGAAAUUUCCUGAAGAUGAGCUCGCGUCUGAUUAGCUAGUUGGUGAGGUAAAGGCUCACCAAGGCAGCGAUCAGUAGCUGGUCUGAGAGGAUGACCAGCCACACUGGGACUGAGACACGGCCCAGACUACUACGGGAGGCAGCAGUGGGGAAUUUUCCGCAAUGGGCGAAAGCCUGACGGAGCAAUACCGCGUGAGGGAAGAAGGCUCUUGGGUUGUAAACCUCUUUUCUUAGGAAAGAACAAAAUGACGGUACCUAAGGAAUCAGCAUCGGCUAACUCCGUG